RNAcentral lists this long non-coding RNA (333 nucleotides) under Papio anubis (olive baboon). Its description in RNAcentral is "lncRNA (ENSPANG00000049045.1)". Lineage: Eukaryota; Metazoa; Chordata; Mammalia; Primates; Cercopithecidae. The record is from RNAcentral.
CUAAAGCAAGAACAGAAGAGGAAACAUAAAAACAAGUAGCAAAUCGUGAAAAAAGGUUCCAAAGAAGUUUAUUCUGAACCCAGAGACAGGAAAGGGUUGGACUCACCCAGAGCAACUUCCAGACCUGCAAGCCACAUUCAUGCUUCUAGAGGUCAUUCACAUUCUUUGGCUCAUGACUCCCUUUCUCCAUCUUCAAAGCCAGCAAUGGCAGGUGAGUCCUUCUUAGAUCACAUCACUCUGACCUCCUCUUCUGCCUCCUUUUUCCACUUUCAAGAAUCUUGUGAUUACACUGAGUCCACCUGGAUAACCCAGGAUACCCUCCUCAUCUCAAAG